CCUACGGGAGGCAGCAGUAGGGAAUAUUGCGCAAUGGGGGAAACCCUGACGCAGCAACGCCGCGUGAGUGAGGAAGGUCUUCGGAUUGUAAAACUCUGUUCUUAGGGAAAAAUGAUAUUAUGGUUAAUACCCAUAGUAAGUGAUGGUACCUAAGUAGAAAGCACCGGCUAACUUCGUGCCAGCAGCCGCGGUAAU
This 195-nucleotide ribosomal RNA is filed under the name uncultured Bacteriovorax sp. Its description in RNAcentral is "partial 16S ribosomal RNA". It matches the Rfam family "Bacterial small subunit ribosomal RNA", at positions 338 to 524 of the family's 1533-position model. The record is from RNAcentral. Lineage: Bacteria; Pseudomonadati; Bdellovibrionota; Bacteriovoracia; Bacteriovoracales; Bacteriovoracaceae.